CCUACGGGAGGCAGCAGUGGGGAAUAUUGCACAAUGGGGGAAACCCUGAUGCAGCGACGCCGCGUGAGUGAAGAAGUAUCUCGGUACGUAAAGCUCUAUCAGCAGGGAAGAAAAUGACGGUACCUGACUAAGAAGCCCCGGCUAACUACGUGCCAACAGCCGCGGUAAUACGUAGGGGGCAAGCGUUAUCCGGAUUUACUGGGCGUAAAGGGAGCGUAGACGGGAGCACAAGUCUGGAGUGAAAUCCCGGGGCUUAACCCCGGAACUGCUUUGGAAACUGUGCGGCUGGAGUGCAGGAGGGGUAAGCGGAAUUCGUAGUGUAGCGGUGAAAUGCGUAGAUAUUAGGAAGAACACCGGUGGCGAAGGCAGCUUACUGGACUGUAACUGACGUUGAGGCUCGAAAGCGUGGGGAGCAAACAGGAUUAGAUACCCGGGUAGUC
Molecule: ribosomal RNA, 440 nt
Filed under: uncultured bacterium
Lineage: Bacteria
Description: partial 16S ribosomal RNA
Rfam family: Bacterial small subunit ribosomal RNA
Source: RNAcentral